GCCCAGGUGGUGGAAUUGGUAUACACACACGUUUGAGGGGCGUGGGCCUUUUGGCCGUGCGGGUUCGAGUCCCGCCCUGGGCACAA
Molecule: transfer RNA, 86 nt
Filed under: Candidatus Wolfebacteria bacterium
Lineage: Bacteria; Candidatus Wolfeibacteriota
Description: tRNA-Leu
Rfam family: tRNA
About the family: Transfer RNA (tRNA) molecules are approximately 80 nucleotides in length. Their secondary structure includes four short double-helical elements and three loops (D, anti-codon, and T loops).
Source: RNAcentral